AGUAAUCUUCCGCGAAAGGACGUAGGCCCUGCUGGCAGGGAAGGCGCCGGCGUGCAGCUUUGUAUCGCCGGCCGGCCGCCCGCUGGUGGAAGCAGGCAGCUUCAACCGCUAGCUCUGCCGGCACUGGCGCUGCGAGGCCCGGCAGGGCGUGGGGUGCUGUUGGCGGGCCGCCUACACCGCGGGCGCGUUUUCCCGUGAAGCUACCGGCUACUGCCGGGACCGAGCCCCGCACAGACACCUCCAGCUUCGGCAUCCCUCCAGCCCCGGCCUCUCUGGCCGCGGGAAAGGGAGGGGGGAAAUAAAGUUCUACUUGGGAGACUACAGGAGACUUCUGGCGAAGCAGAGCGUGUUGUGCUUUGCUGUCCCGGCCCCUGCUGUUAGUUACAACGUUAAUCGCCAUCAGCAGCCGUACGUGGAGACCGGAGAGCCCGAGGCCUCACCAGAGCCCAGUCAGGCCAAGUGCUCGUUUCAGGCAAAAUUUAAAGUCACUCCAGAGGACUGCGAGCCCGGCAACGGCUAUCGUGCAGGUCCUGCUGCUGUCUUUCUGUCAAUGCAAUGCUGGCCUGGACAGCGAGAUCCCUUAACCUUAUCGAGCUUCCAGCUGGAGCAAACUGUACAAGGAACUAGCAAUGGUAUCUAAAGAGGUUCACUCACAAAGAAGCUUGCAGGCCAGCAGUACAUCCCUGAGGACGGAACAAGAUAAGACUAAAGAGAGAAGUGGGAGUAGGAGAAGGAAGUUAUAUUCUAGUUGAGGAGAUUGGUGCUCUGUAAGCACCUAAAAUAGAAUAUGGAGAUAGAGACAGCAGAAGCAGAAUGGAUGCCAAAGUGAAAUGAUCUGGAGUGCUGAGCGCUGCAUCAACCCACACACAGGCCCACCCCAAGGACAGUGAUGCAGAGAAGUCUUAGAUGGUGCUCCCUGCUUGGAAAAAUGAUGUCAGUAUUGGCAGACCCGAAACUAAACUGAAGGCUAACCAAAAUAAAUUCAUUAAAUGUACUUCCCUUCUAUAUAGCACAAAAAUUUCAUUCUCAGUGCAGUGCACCUUUGUAUUAGCCUUGUACUGUUUAACAGCACUGCUG
Pogoniulus pusillus (Red-fronted tinkerbird) is the source of this 1077-nucleotide long non-coding RNA. RefSeq lists it as uncharacterized. The transcript is spliced from 4 exons. Lineage: Eukaryota; Metazoa; Chordata; Aves; Piciformes; Lybiidae. The record is from RefSeq and is a predicted model, not a curated record.